RNAcentral lists this ribosomal RNA (291 nucleotides) under uncultured bacterium. Its description in RNAcentral is "partial 16S ribosomal RNA". It matches the Rfam family "Bacterial small subunit ribosomal RNA", at positions 773 to 1060 of the family's 1533-position model. The record is from RNAcentral.
GUGGAUUAGAUACCCUGGUAGUCCACGCCCUAAACGAUGUCAACUAGGUGUUGGGUGGGUAAAACCAUUUAGUACCGUAGCUAACGCGUGAAGUUGACCGCCUGGGGAGUACGGCCGCAAGGUUAAAACUCAAAGGAAUUGACGGGGACCCGCACAAGCGGUGGAUGAUGUGGAUUAAUUCGAUGCAACGCGAAAAACCUUACCUACCCUUGACAUGUCCAGGAGCCUGAAGAGAUUUGGGUGUGCCCGAAAGGGAGCUGGAACACAGGUGCUGCACGGUCGUCGACAACU